This 482-nucleotide ribosomal RNA is filed under the name uncultured bacterium. Its description in RNAcentral is "partial 16S ribosomal RNA". It matches the Rfam family "Bacterial small subunit ribosomal RNA", at positions 30 to 507 of the family's 1533-position model. The record is from RNAcentral.
AUUGAACGCUGGCGGCAUGCUUUACACAUGCAAGUCGAACGGUAACAGGCCGCAAGGUGCUGACGAGUGGCGAACGGGUGAGUAAUGCAUCGGAACGUGCCCAGUCGUGGGGGAUAACUACUCGAAAGAGUAGCUAAAACCGCAUACGAUCUAUGGAUGAAAGCGGGGGACCGUAAGGCCUCGCGCGAUUGGAGCGGCCGAUGUCAGAUUAGGUAGUUGGUGGGGUAAAGGCUCACCAAGCCAACGAUCUGUAGCUGGUCUGAGAGGACGACCAGCCACACUGGGACUGAGACACGGCCCAGACUCCUACGGGAGGCAGCAGUGGGGAAUUUUGGACAAUGGGCGCAAGCCUGAUCCAGCAAUGCCGCGUGCAGGAAGAAGGCCUUCGGGUUGUAAACUGCUUUUGUACGGAACGAAACGGCUCUGGUUAAUACCCGGGGCUAAUGACGGUACCGUAAGAAUAAGCACCGGCUAACUACGUG